AUUGAACGCUGGCGGCAUGCCUUACACAUGCAAGUCGAACGGCAGCACGGGUGCUUGCACCUGGUGGCGAGUGGCGAACGGGUGAGUAAUACAUCGGAACAUGUCCUGUCGUGGGGGAUAGCCCGGCGAAAGCCGGAUUAAUACCGCAUACGAUCUACGGAUGAAAGCGGGGGGCCUUCGGGCCUCGCGCUAUGGGGUUGGCCGAUGGCUGAUUAGCUAGUUGGUGGGGUAAAGGCCUACCAAGGCGACGAUCAGUAGCUGGUCUGAGAGGACGACCAGCCACACUGGGACUGAGACACGGCCCAGACUCCUACGGGAGGCAGCAGUGGGGAAUGUUGGACAAUGGGCGAAAGCCUGAUCCAGCAAUGCCGCGUGUGUGAAGAAGGCCUUCGGGUUGUAAAGCACUUUUGUCCGGAAAGAAAUCCUUGGCCCUAAUACGGUCGGGGGAUGACGGUACCGGAAGAAUAAGCACCGGCUAACUACGUG
This 486-nucleotide ribosomal RNA is filed under the name uncultured bacterium. Its description in RNAcentral is "partial 16S ribosomal RNA". It matches the Rfam family "Bacterial small subunit ribosomal RNA", at positions 29 to 507 of the family's 1533-position model. The record is from RNAcentral.